This 253-nucleotide ribosomal RNA is filed under the name uncultured bacterium. RNAcentral describes it as "partial 16S ribosomal RNA". It matches the Rfam family "Bacterial small subunit ribosomal RNA", at positions 524 to 776 of the family's 1533-position model. The record is from RNAcentral.
UACGUAGGGUGCGAGCGUUAAUCGGAAUUACUGGGCGUAAAGCGUGCGCAGGCGGUUCGUUGUGUCGGUGGUGAAAUCCCCGGGCUUAACCUGGGAAUGGCCAUGGAAACUGGCGAACUGGAGUGCGGCAGAGGGGGGUGGAAUUCCGCGUGUAGCAGUGAAAUGCGUAGAGAUGUGGAGGAAUACCGAUGGCGAAGGCAGCCCCCUGGGCCAAUACUGACGCUCAUGCACGAAAGCGUGGGGAGCAAACAGG